UGACCUCCUAAGGUGCUGCUACUCAUU
RNAcentral lists this non-coding RNA (27 nucleotides) under Mus musculus (house mouse). Lineage: Eukaryota; Metazoa; Chordata; Mammalia; Rodentia; Muridae. The record is from RNAcentral.